GAGCCUUUCAGUACCUGGGGAAAGUCGAUGCAUUUCUGAAGACAGCAAAACUCUGGGUGAAAUAAAUUUUGGAGGUGUGGGGCAAGAGGCCCUUUUCUUCGAGAGCAGCUCCGACAGCACCUGCAGGACAUGGAGCUGUCGAACAACCUCAAGCACCGCAUGCCUUGCUGCAGCGCACCACAGGGGCUCAGGAUGGGGUGAUUCAGGUCCCUCGGUGGCAUUAAGCAGCGGACCACAGCCAAAGUCCUCCCACUCCCCUGGAUGAACUGGGAGCACUGGAAAUCCCAGGGACAAAGGACCGUUUUUCGCUUCAACAACCCUAAAUUUAUUCCAUGGAAAAACUUCAGUGUCAAAAUUAUUUGGUCCAUGUGUUCGGGGAGAAGGCUGCCGUGUCCCAGCCCCUUGCAGCACGCCGUCUUCUUAUGGGAGCGCUUUUGACCUGCUCCUGCCUUCAUCAGCAGGAGCGCCGCCUUGCCCUAAAUAUACAUAACAAGCUGCGGAACUCGACUGGCUGCGAGAUAGGAGCCAUCAGUGGAUGUUGACAGCCUUGAUGUCUUGGCGGGCAGGAUCCAACAGCAUCUCCCACUGUAUGGCGCUAGAUAUUUAAUAAAGUAAAACCCCCAGGAUCAAGAAGGCUGCAAUCCCUCCCAGCUCCUUUCUUCUGCUUUGCUCGAGCUCUUUAAAGCCUGCCUCCCGUCUCUCUCCAGAAAAUCCUUUCAUGCCUCCCUCACCAGACUGACAUUUUGACAAGUUGCCACGAGUGACAUCUGAUUUGUACAAAUUUCAAGACUAAUAAAUCUACCUGUCAAAGCGGAAACUUUAAAAGGAGCUAAGCCCAGCGGGUAUAGUUUAACAGAACUCAAGUUGAUGAAACUGUAGGAUGGAGAAAUUAUAUCUGUCACAAUCCACCCACAUUAGUUCUGUAGAGAUGUUGGCAACUGAAACAAACGUCUUUCACAGCCUCGAAAAAAAAUAAAAAAAAAA
Oxyura jamaicensis (ruddy duck) is the source of this 984-nucleotide long non-coding RNA. RefSeq lists it as uncharacterized. Lineage: Eukaryota; Metazoa; Chordata; Aves; Anseriformes; Anatidae. The record is from RefSeq and is a predicted model, not a curated record. The transcript is spliced from 3 exons.